Molecule: ribosomal RNA, 186 nt
Filed under: Lepus capensis (brown hare)
Lineage: Eukaryota; Metazoa; Chordata; Mammalia; Lagomorpha; Leporidae
Description: partial small subunit ribosomal RNA
Source: RNAcentral
CUAUGCUUAGCCUUAAACCUAAAUAAUUUCCUAACAAAAUUAUUCGCCAGAGAACUACAAGCCAGAGCUUAAAACUCAAAGGACUUGGCGGUGCUUUAUACCCGCCUAGAGGAGCCUGUUCUAUAAUCGAUAAACCCCGAUAAACCUUACCACUCUUUGCCAACUCAGCCUAUAUACCGCCAUCUU